AUUUUGGAAAGCAUUAUUUCUUAUUUUCUUUAAAUUUGGGUGAUAUAAUUUGUUCACCAAGGAAAAGAAGAUAAAAUGGUAUAUCAUUAUGCAGUGUGAAAUUAUUACGUAUCUUUCCUGGAUGAGGGUUGCAAAAAGUUGUUAAACUUUGAUUGCAAAUUAUGUACGCGUUAAUGUAAUGUGACCGACUAUCACCCAAUUCUGCAUUUUAAAACUUCGUAUGAACUAAUUUACCUUUUUAAAUUGUUGUUUAUAUAUUAAUUUUGUAAGAACAUUAAAAAGUUUAUAGAAUUUAUGCAUAGCCCUUAACCAAGAACAAUUGUGU
RNAcentral lists this long non-coding RNA (325 nucleotides) under Ananas comosus (pineapple). Its description in RNAcentral is "long non-coding RNA (ACOM_LNC041075)". Lineage: Eukaryota; Viridiplantae; Streptophyta; Magnoliopsida; Poales; Bromeliaceae. The record is from RNAcentral.